GAUGAACGCUGGCGGCGUGCCUAAUACAUGCAAGUCGAGCGAACAGACGAGGAGCUUGCUCCUUUGACGUUAGCGGAGGACGGGUGAGUAACACGUGGGUAACCUACCUAUAAGACUGGGAUAACCUCGGGAAACCGGAGCUAAUACCGGAUAAUAUUUCGAACCGCAUGGUUCGAUAGUGAAAGAUGGCUCUGCUGUCACUUAUAGAUGGACCUGCGCCGUAUUAGCUAGUUGGUAAGGUAACGGCUUACCAAGGGAACGAUACGUAGCCGACCUGAGAGGGUGAUCGGCCACACUGGAACUGAGACACGGUCCAGACUCCUACGGGAGGCAGCAGUAGGGAAUCUUCCGCAAUGGGCGAAAGCCUGACGGAGCAACGCCGCGUGAGUGAUGAAGGUCUUCGGAUCGUAAAACUCUGUUAUUAGGGAAGAACAAACGUGUAAGUAAAUGUGGACGUCUUGACGGUACCUAAUCAGAAAGCAACGGCUAACUACGUG
This 497-nucleotide ribosomal RNA is filed under the name uncultured bacterium. Its description in RNAcentral is "partial 16S ribosomal RNA". It matches the Rfam family "Bacterial small subunit ribosomal RNA", at positions 28 to 507 of the family's 1533-position model. The record is from RNAcentral.